AAAAUAAUUAUUUAAAAAUAAGAUAAGAGACCCUAUUAGUGGCACCUUUAACCCCUAUUAGUGGCACUUUUUCUUUCAAUGAAAAAAUGUUCUACUUGAAAUAAAAAUUGAAAAUUUUUUU
Molecule: long non-coding RNA, 121 nt
Organism: Cotesia glomerata
Lineage: Eukaryota; Metazoa; Arthropoda; Insecta; Hymenoptera; Braconidae
Exons: 3
Source: RefSeq, a predicted model, not a curated record